CGGCAGCCCUAGUGGUGGCCGCUUUUAUUGGGCCUAAAGCGUCCGUAGCCGGAUAGGCAAGUCUUUGGGUAAAUCCUACGUCUUAAGCGUGGGAAUUCUAAAGAUACUACCUGUCUUGAGGCCGGGAGAGGCUAGAGGUACUCCUGGGGUAGGGGUAAAAUCCUAUAAUCCCAGGGGGACCACCGAUGGCGAAGGCAUCUAGCUGGAACGGGCCUGACGGUGAGGGACGAAACCCAGGGGAGCGAGCCGGAUUAGAUACCCGAGUAGUCC
This 270-nucleotide ribosomal RNA is filed under the name uncultured archaeon. RNAcentral's name for it is "partial 16S ribosomal RNA". It matches the Rfam family "Archaeal small subunit ribosomal RNA", at positions 477 to 747 of the family's 1478-position model. The record is from RNAcentral.